Molecule: ribosomal RNA, 301 nt
Filed under: uncultured bacterium
Lineage: Bacteria
Description: partial 16S ribosomal RNA
Rfam family: Bacterial small subunit ribosomal RNA
Source: RNAcentral
CAGUCGCCACGGUAAUACAGAGGAUGCAAGCGUUAUCCGGAAUGAUUGGGCGUAAAGCGUCUGUAGGUGGCUUUUCAAGUCCGCCGUCAAAUCCCAGGGCUCAACCCUGGACAGGCGGUGGAAACUACCAAGCUGGAGUACGGCAGGGGCAGAGGGAAUUUCCAGUGGAGCGGUGAAUUGCGUUGAGAUCGAAAAGAACACCAACAGCGAAAGCACUCUGCUGGGACGACACUGACACUAAGAGACGAAAGCUAGGGGAGCAAAAGGGAUUAGAUACCCGCGUAGUCCCUGUCUCUUAUCC